RNAcentral lists this ribosomal RNA (433 nucleotides) under uncultured bacterium. RNAcentral describes it as "partial 16S ribosomal RNA". It matches the Rfam family "Bacterial small subunit ribosomal RNA", at positions 29 to 507 of the family's 1533-position model. The record is from RNAcentral.
AGCGAACGCUGGCGGCAGGCCUAACACAUGCAAGUCGAACGGAUCCAUCGGGAUUUGUGGCGGACGGGGGAGUAACACGUGGGAACGGGCCCUUUUGUUCGGAACACCUCAGGGACACUUGAGCUAAUACCGGAUGGGCCCUUCUGGGGAAAGAUUUAUCGCGAUUGGAGCGGCCCGCGUCUGAUUAGCUUGUUGGUGAGGUAACGGCCCACCACGGCGACGAUCAGUAGCUGGUCUGAGAGGAUGAUCACCCACACUGGGACUGAGACGCGGCCCAGAAUCCUACGGGAGGGAGGAGUGGGGGAUCGAGCGCAAUGGGCGGAAGGCUGACGCAGCCAGGCUGCGUGAAUGAUGAAGGUCUUAAGAUUGUAAAAUUCUUUCAGCGGGGACGAUAAUGACGGUACCCGCAGAAGAAGCUCCGGCUAACUUCGUG